Paramormyrops kingsleyae is the source of this 1149-nucleotide non-coding RNA. The record is from RefSeq and is a predicted model, not a curated record. Lineage: Eukaryota; Metazoa; Chordata; Actinopteri; Osteoglossiformes; Mormyridae.
CAGAUAAAGAUCUAUGAGCUACAGGGAACAGCUGAGGGUCAUGAAUAAUCACCAAGAACUUCAGACACAAGGAGAGACUAGGAACACAGGGUACUGUGAACCUGGGGUCAUUCCCAGGAAGCUCAGAGUAGGAGAUGCCCUGGAUAGGAUACAGGGGACACACUCUGGAGGAAGUUACCACGGGAGGAAACCCACGCAAAUAUGAGGAAAAACGUGCAAACUACCCAAAACCACAGACCUUGGUGUCCCAACGAUGGAGGCUCCCUACUGAAUCCUUUAAAAUCAUUCAAAGUCUCAACUUGCCAAAGGAGCAGAGCCCAGCACCAAGCGAAGCUUCCACACCCUCGACCCCAACUCUAUCUCAUCUUCUCAACACUGCUUCUCCUCGCUACAAGAAAAGACACGAAACCUACACCUUUGUCCUGGUCUUCAUCCAAAAAACAACGGAAUCGUCUGAAAUGUAUUCUGCUAUUUUUAACCACCUGAUUGAAACGGAGUGUAUUGUUCUUUAUUGAGCUGGGACUUGGUACGGAAGCAGCUGUUGCAGUAGGUUAUGUGAUAAAAAUUAUAUUCCAUAAUUUAAUAUAUAAAGUCUGGCUUGAGAUCAACAUGUGAGAGCUGCCUGAACCGAUUAUGUCGCUGAUGCUUUUACAUUUGAACUGCACAGGGUUUUGUCUUUUGACAGAUGGGACAUUUUGGGUAAUGCAAAAUUUUUUGACCCUUUAAAAACCACACAAGUCUUUGCCCUUUAAAUAUUUACCCAGGUUUUUUUCUUUAUUGACAGGGUAACUAAGGGAUAUUUUGCACAUCAUACUCGCCACCUUUAAAACACUUUGAAUUUGUUAAUUUGCCCAUUUAGUUCAAGCACUCUACUGGUCUUGAAAUGAUAAACAACAUAUAUUGUCCACUGACCAUAAGCUGGCAUAAAGAUAGGACAUCUCAGAUUUGCUAUUAUGUAGACACCACAACAGGCAAUGUAAUAUGAAUCGUAAUAAAUUAUUAUGGUCUAAGAUUCACUUCAGUUGAUUUUGUGUUUAAUUUAGCUUUUGGGAAAACAAUGCAUUUUUAUAUUCUAAAAAUGAGCAUGUUGUUACCAGAUUUGAAUACAGAUAGCAUAUGCAAUAAUUAAAUGAUUUAAAAUAUUACAGA